UGUUAUAAAAGGCCUAGGUUUUGAAUGGCCUAUGGAAAUGGGCAAAACCAAAGAUAGUUAUCAUGUAAGAAAAGUGUAAAUAUGGAUGCAUUUGCUUCCCCUUUCUCUAUUUUUAACUUUUUAUCUUUUAGUCUUGUUUUUGUAAGCCGCCCGGAGUCCUACAGUAUUGGGCGACAUAUAAAUUUAUUAAAUUACAAUUAAUUAAAUUGCAUACAGAAUACUUAUGGACAGGUUCCUGUUUGUGUCAGAGGCCAAUUUAAGAAGGAAGAAUCCCAGAGUCAGAAACUGGAUGUGCACUGAAGAAAGUGCUAUAUGAGUAUGCGCAGGAUCGCAUUAAUGAUAAUCUGCGACCAACCUCUCUAUACAGUAAAUAUAGUAGUAAGGUUUUCAUUGUGAUCUCCACGACAGAAAUACUGUGAAGUGCCUCUCUUUUUUGUGCAGUUUUACAAGACCGCGUUUGGAGCACAGGGCAACUGCUGUAUUUGCUGUUUUCAAAUCCUGGUAGCGCUAAUUACAAAUGGAAACUACUCCAGAUUUGGACCUCUUUAAUAUGACAGAAGUCCUAUAUGGUAUCCUGAUUUGCAGGAUGCAACUGUCAACGCUGCUUACAUCGCCAGCGUCAUUCUGCUGAGCAAAUAUGGUGAUGACGUUAUGCAGCAAAUGCCGAUCUGGAGGAAGUGAGAAGCCUUGCAUCAUCUAGAGAGGUGUUGCUCGGUUGCUUGCAAGGCGAUUUCUGAUAUUCUAAAGAGCCUUCUGGCGUGGCAGACGGAUGAAGCUCACCUGAACAGAAUAAUCAAGGCCUUGCGGAACUGGCUGACCUCGCCUGACCUCACCUUGCGUGAGAGAGCAACCCGGGUCCCUGAUCCAGCUGCUUCAAAUCUAUAAAAGGCAGAUCCCAUCCGAGGAUGAAUAGCUGCAGUGGGUGAAAUCCCAAAACAACUGGAGCCCAAUUUGGACCCAUCGGCAUUGACAAUCUCACCAUCAGUCAGUUGCCAAAGGCCGCCUUCCUUGGAAGAGCUGACAUCCAGUCUGAACAUCUAGCUGACUGUGUGA
This is a long non-coding RNA of Thamnophis elegans (Western terrestrial garter snake), 1053 nucleotides long. RefSeq lists it as uncharacterized. The record is from RefSeq and is a predicted model, not a curated record. The transcript is spliced from 5 exons. Lineage: Eukaryota; Metazoa; Chordata; Lepidosauria; Squamata; Natricidae.